GGUUCUGUCCCCGAUGCCCACCUCCUGGUUCUCGUCUGGCCACUUCGCCUCCCUGUACCUGCAGAGAGCUGGAGCAACCCCGCAGCUGUUUCCGCCUCACGGGGCAGACCAGUCUCCAGAGGGGAUCCUCACCCCAGCGCCCUCUGGUGGCGCCCGUGCCAGGACGGGGCUGGGCCGGACUCCAGGGGUCUGUUCGGAAGGGGAGAGCGGCGAAGCUAAGCCCUGUGACCCCAGAGCACCUCCCGAAAUCCACGUGAACGUUGCUAUAGAGACGGCAGAGACGAGCCGCAGCAGCUCGGAAUUGGACCUCCACCCAUAAGAGAGAGGAAAGAGUCACCCCAGGAAACAGCUGACGUCAGGGCUCUGUUCGCCCCCUCCCCCACGCCAGGUGCCUAGGGGCCACGCUGAGUGUCCUACUCCCGCAAGGACACACCCCACGCCCCACCUGCCGUGGGCUCACCUUUGUGACCCUGAGGCCCUCCUGGGCAAGUGGUAAGGGGUGGGCGUCCGCCCGCCUCCGUGGGACAGGGACUGUUGGGUGCGGGCUGGGCAGUGGGCUGUUUCCUUGGCGGUGUGCCCGCAGGAUCUGCCCUCGGGCUUUCCUUCCCACUGCAGCUCGGGGACUCACACCUGAGUGCUCUGGGUGGUGUCAGGAUGCAAAACGUGCGUGCCCUGGAGCCCAGCGGGGCGUGGAGCGGGGCAGAGAGCUGCUCGGAUCCAGACUCUGCAGCAAGGCGCGAGGUGGGCCUGCGAGACCUCGGGCUCGAGGAGCGCGGAGCAGCCCCGGAGCUCCUGACUGCCCUCUGGGGGCAAGGGCUCCCCUUGCAUCCGCUGUUCUUGUUUUCUUGAUUAUGAAAGGGCCGCAUGAUUUGGGGGCGGGGAGCAUGUCAGCAACACAAAAGGUAAAGGUAAGAAUCAAAGUUCUUGUUCCCCCCAGACCCUGUGCCCUGGGGGUUACCGUUAGGAGGUUUGGGGUGGGGUGGGGCGUCUGGGUCUCCCGUAGCUGCUGAAACAAAUAAUUUAGGCAAACACCGUGCCCCGCAAAACAGCCCGGACGUGUUAUCCUACACUCGGGAGGCCACGGGGUGCAGUGAGGCUUCUGGGGUAAAGCAAGCAGGCUUCCUUCUGGGGAGAACCCUUGCCUCUUCAGCGUCUGGUAGUCUCCAGCUCAUUUAGACCUGCACAUUAUAUUAUACUAAAUUCAUUGCUUUAUGCAUGAAUAUGCAUUAAAUAUACAGAGAUGUGACCGUAUCCCCUAAGAAUAUAUAAUAAAAUCACAAUUAUCUGAUCUUUGCACAUUUGAUAAGAUUUUCCUCCCCAGAUCAGAUAUGGAUAGCGUGUCUUUCCCUGGCGUGGCUCCUACCUUUUCAACUGCUUCCUUCACGAUUGGUCUAUUUGGGCUUUCUAUUUCUGCUGGAGUCAGUUUUAAUAGUUUGUCUUGUUCUACUGUCUGAAUAUCCAAAGUUUACAAACAAUUGUAUGUCAUUUCCCUUUGUAAUUUUUUUUUAAAGAUUUUAUUUAUUUAUUUGACA
This is a long non-coding RNA of Lutra lutra (Eurasian river otter), 1532 nucleotides long. RefSeq lists it as uncharacterized. The record is from RefSeq and is a predicted model, not a curated record. Lineage: Eukaryota; Metazoa; Chordata; Mammalia; Carnivora; Mustelidae. The transcript is spliced from 4 exons.